CGGAGGAGAGGGAGUAGCUGCCGGAGGCGCCGCCGAGGGAGAGGAGGACCUUGACGCCUCGGGACUGGCAGGACUUGAUGUCGGAGGAGAGGCCUUUGCAGGUGCCGGCGGAGGGGUCGCAGUGGCCGGCGAGGUUGAGGACGGGGGUCUGGCCGUUGCCGAAGGUGGUGAGGAAGGCGAUGUUGACGUAGGAGUAGAGGCCGGUGGCGCAGGCGGAGGCGAGGCUCCCCUCGGCGGUAUACUGGCCCCAGUAGACGGCGAUGCUGCCUGCAUGGGAGCCGGCAACAAGGGCGAGG
Molecule: long non-coding RNA, 296 nt
Filed under: Elaeis guineensis (African oil palm)
Lineage: Eukaryota; Viridiplantae; Streptophyta; Magnoliopsida; Arecales; Arecaceae
Description: long non-coding RNA (EGUI_LNC070398)
Source: RNAcentral